CAUGCAAGUCGAGCGGAUGAAUGGAGCUUGCUCCUGGAUUCAGCGGCGGACGGGUGAGUAAUGCCUAGGAAUCUGCCUGGUAGUGGGGGACAACGUUUCGAAAGGAACGCUAAUACCGCAUACGUCCUACGGGAGAAAGUGGGGGAUCUUCGGACCUCACGCUAUCAGAUGAGCCUAGGUCGGAUUACCUAGUUGGUGAGGUAAAGGCUCACCAAGGCGACGAUCCGUAACUGGUCUGAGAGGAUGAUCAGUCACACUGGAACUGACACACGGUCCAGACUCCUACGGGAGGCACCAGUGGGGAAUAUUGGACAAUGGGCGAAAGCCUGAUCCAGCCAUGCCGCGUGUGUGAAGAAGGUCUUCGGAUUGUAAAGCACUUUAAGUUGGGAGGAAGGGCAGUAAGUUAAUACCUUGCUGUUUUGACGUUACCAACAGAAUAAGCACCGGCUAACUUCGUGCCAGCAGCCGCGGUAAUACGAAGGGUGCAAGCGUUAAUCGGAAUUACUGGGCGUAAAGCUCGCGUAGGUGGUUCGUUAAGUUGGAUGUGAAGUCCCCGGGCUCAACCUGGGAACUGCAUCCAAA
This 582-nucleotide ribosomal RNA is filed under the name Pseudomonas aeruginosa. RNAcentral describes it as "bacterial SSU rRNA". It matches the Rfam family "Bacterial small subunit ribosomal RNA", at positions 54 to 631 of the family's 1533-position model. Lineage: Bacteria; Pseudomonadati; Pseudomonadota; Gammaproteobacteria; Pseudomonadales; Pseudomonadaceae. The record is from RNAcentral.